Molecule: transfer RNA, 115 nt
Filed under: Nocardioides oceani
Lineage: Bacteria; Bacillati; Actinomycetota; Actinomycetes; Propionibacteriales; Nocardioidaceae
Description: tRNA-Val
Source: RNAcentral
AGCGGUGUUCCCGCAGGUCAGGCCUCGAAUGCUCAAAGGGCAGCAAGGGCUGGGCCAACGACGCCCGCUCGCGCUGGAUGCCCAGAGGUCGCAGGUUCAAAUCCUGCCCCCGCUA